UGAUAUGCCAUGGAGGGUCAGCUUAUAUAUUAUCCCCUAGGACAUCAUUUAAUUGUGAACAUUGUGAUGGUAUUAUGUACUAUUAAUUGUGAUGACUGAGACACUGUACAAUCUUAUUGCAGAGUAUUUUUCUAGGCCGCAGAUUCCUAAAGAAUCAGAUGUCGUGAAUCAGAUACUUAAAUCCAACUACCUUUUCAGAAUGAGGUCCUAUAAUGAAGCUGGCUGUAGGCAUCACUACCACAACUUCUCAAACAUAAAUCAACAUGAGUUAUAUAGCUUUGUCAGUGAACAACCUUUGUUAUUCUUACAUGCUAACAGUUGAUAUGAGUCGCUUAUCUACUGAUUUUCAUUGUUGUUUGCAAUUGUUAAUAUCUUGACUAUUAAGCUGUAAUUGCCUCUACAUAAAUAUAGAAAUUCAGUAAAUAUCUGCUGAUACUACAUUCUUCUCACAAGGAAAUUAUGUUCGAUGUCCUGAUUCACUUACCACUCAACAGGAAGAUUGUUUUAGAUGAGGACUAGACCAGAUCUUUAGUGACCUGGCGAAUAGGCUCGUCACAAAAAAUAGUAGCAGAUGCAUAUGAGGAUAUACUAUCAAGGCUAUGAAAAUGGCUGCUGCUUGGAAUCUGGAUGGACAGAUUGACAUGGUGAAGGUGGUUGUCUUUAAGAACAAGACAAACUCGCCCUCACCAACUCCUCAGUAAACCUUUGGUGGUAGAGCCACUGCAGGCUAUGAUUAUGGGUUCACCUUUAGAGAAUGCAAGACAAGGCCCAGAGAUACCAUGGGACGUACUGCAAUCAAGAUGUCAGUAUCAAAGUACUUGAGCUUGAGCAG
Molecule: long non-coding RNA, 832 nt
Organism: Zea mays
Lineage: Eukaryota; Viridiplantae; Streptophyta; Magnoliopsida; Poales; Poaceae
Exons: 4
Source: RefSeq, a predicted model, not a curated record